This 254-nucleotide ribosomal RNA is filed under the name uncultured bacterium. RNAcentral describes it as "partial 16S ribosomal RNA". It matches the Rfam family "Bacterial small subunit ribosomal RNA", at positions 524 to 776 of the family's 1533-position model. The record is from RNAcentral.
GACGAACCGUGCGAACGUUAUUCGGAAUCACUGGGCUUAAAGCGCGUGUAGGCGGGGCGGUGCGUCGGUCGCUGAAAUCCCCCGGCUCAACCGGGGAAGGGGCGCCGAUACGACCGGCCUGGAGCGACGUAGGGGGAACUGGAACUUCCGGUGGAGCGGUGAAAUGCGUUGAGAUCGGAAGGAACGCCCGUGGCGAAAGCGAGUUCCUGGACGCUUACUGACGCUGAGGCGCGAAAGCCAGGGGAGCAAACGGG